RNAcentral lists this ribosomal RNA (279 nucleotides) under uncultured bacterium. RNAcentral describes it as "partial 16S ribosomal RNA". It matches the Rfam family "Bacterial small subunit ribosomal RNA", at positions 506 to 784 of the family's 1533-position model. The record is from RNAcentral.
UGCCAGCAGCCGCGGUAAUACGUAGGGUGCAAGCGUAGUUCGGAAUUACUGGGCUUAAAGAGUUCGUAGGUGGUCGAAAAAGUUAGUGGUGAAAUCCCAGAGCUUAACUCUGGAACUGCCAUUAAAACUUUUCAGCUAGAGUAUGAUAGAGGAAAGCAGAAUUUCUAGUGUAGAGGUGAAAUUCGUAGAUAUUAGAAAGAAUACCAAUUGCGAAGGCAGCUUUCUGGAUCAUUACUGACACUGAGGAACGAAAGUGUGGGGAGCAAACAGGAUUAGAUA